Molecule: ribosomal RNA, 1055 nt
Filed under: uncultured marine rappemonad
Lineage: Eukaryota
Description: bacterial SSU rRNA
Rfam family: Bacterial small subunit ribosomal RNA
Source: RNAcentral
GAAAGUGCCUAAAGACGAGCUCGCGCCUGAUUAGCUAGUUGGUGGGGUAAAGGCCUACCAAGGCGACGAUCAGUAGCUGGUUUGAGAGAAUGAUCAGCCACACUGGAACUGAGACACGGUCCAGACUCCUGCGGGAGGCAGCAGUGGGGAAUUUUCCGCAAUGGGCGAAAGCCUGACGGAGCAAUACCGCGUGAGGGAUUAAGGCCUGUGGGUUGUAAACCUCUUUUCUCAAGGAAGAAUCAAUGACGGUACUUGAGGAAUAAGCAUCGGCUAACUCCGUGCCAGCAGCCGCGGUAAUACGGGGGAUGCAAGCGUUAUCCGGAAUUAUUGGGCGUAAAGCGUCUGUAGGUUGUUUAAUAAGUCUGUUGUUAAAGACUGGGGCUUAACCCCAGGAAAGCAAUAGAAACUGUUAGGCUAGAGUGUGGUAGAGGUAGAGGGAAUUCCUAGUGUAGCGGUGAAAUGCGUAGAUAUUAGGAAGAACACCGGUGGCGAAAGCGCUCUGCUGGGCCAUAACUGACACUCAGAGACGAAAGCUAGGGUAGCAAAUGGGAUUAGAUACCCCAGUAGUCCUAGCCGUAAACGAUGGAUACUAGAUGUUGCGUAACUCGAUUAUGCAGUGUUGUAGCUAACGCGUUAAGUAUCCCGCCUGGGGAGUACACUCGCAAGGGUGAAACUCAAAGGAAUUGACGGGGGCCCGCACAAGCGGUGGAGCAUGUGGUUUAAUUUGAUGCAACGCGAAGAACCUUACCAAGGCUUGACAUGUCACGAAUCUUUUUGAGAAGAAAGAGUGCCCUCGGGAACGUGAACACAGGUGGUGUAUGGCUGUCGUCAGCUCGUGUCGUGAGAUGUUGGGUUAAGUCCCGCAACGAGCGCAACCCUUGUCUUUAGUUACCAUCAUUUAGUUGGGGACUCUAGAGAGACUGCCGGUGACAAACCGGAGGAAGGUGAGGACGACGUCAAGUCAGCAUGCCCCUUAUGCCUUGGGCUACACACGUGCUACAAUGGCUAAGACAAAGAGCAGCAAGCUUGUGAAAGUUAGCAAAUCUCGUAAACUU